This 253-nucleotide ribosomal RNA is filed under the name uncultured bacterium. RNAcentral describes it as "partial 16S ribosomal RNA". It matches the Rfam family "Bacterial small subunit ribosomal RNA", at positions 524 to 776 of the family's 1533-position model. The record is from RNAcentral.
GACGUAGGGCGCGAGCGUUGUUCGGAAUUACUGGGCGUAAAGGGCUCGUAGGCGGCCAACUAAGUCAUACGUGAAAUCCCUCAGCUUAACUGGGGAACUGCGUGUGAUACUGGAUGGCUUGGAUUUGGGAGAGGGAUGCGGAAUUCCAGGUGUAGCGGUGAAAUGCGUAGAUAUCUGGAGGAACACCGGUGGCGAAGGCGGCAUCCUGGACCAAUAUUGACGCUGAGGAGCGAAAGCCAGGGGAGCAAACGGG